CGGAGGAUCCAAGCGUUAUCCGGAAUCAUUGGGUUUAAAGGGUCCGUAGGCGGUUUUGUAGGUCAGUGGUGAAAGCCCAUCGCUCAACGGUGGAACGGCCAUUGAUACUGCAAGACUUGAAUUAUUGGGAAGUAACUAGAAUAUGUAGUGUAGCGGUGAAAUGCUUAGAGAUUACAUGGAAUACCAAUUGCGAAGGCAGGUUACUACCAAUAUAUUGACGCUGAUGGACGAAAGCGUGGGGAGCGAACAGGAUUAGAUACCCUGGUAGUCCACGCCGUAAACGAUGGAUACUAGCUGUUCGGAGCAAUCUGAGUGGCUAAGCGAAAGUGAUAAGUAUCCCACCUGGGGAGUACGUUCGCAAGAAUG
RNAcentral lists this ribosomal RNA (366 nucleotides) under uncultured organism. RNAcentral's name for it is "bacterial SSU rRNA". It matches the Rfam family "Bacterial small subunit ribosomal RNA", at positions 526 to 896 of the family's 1533-position model. The record is from RNAcentral.